UGCGCAGCUAACCAUGCAGUCGAGCGGUAACACAAGGGAGCUAGCUCCUGUGCUGACGAGCGGGGGACGGGUGAGUAACGCGUGGGAAUCUACCCAGUAGCGGGGGAUAGCCCGGGGAAACUCGGAUUAAUACCGCAUAAUCUCUUCGGAGGAAAGCAGGGGAUCUUCGGACCUUGCACUAUUGGAUGAGCCCGCGUCAGAUUAGCUAGUUGGUGGGGUAAAGGCCUACCAAGGCGAUGAUCUGUAGCUGGCCUGAGAGGGUGGUCAGCCACACUGGAACUGAGACACGGUCCAGACUCCUACGGGAGGCAGCAGUGGGGAAUAUUGCGCAAUGGAGGAAACUCUGACGCAGCCAUGCCGCGUGUGUGAAUAAGGCCUUCGGGUUGUAAAGCACUUUAAGCGAGGAGGAAAGGUUGUUGGUUAAUAACCAAUAGCUGUGACGUUACUCGCAGAAGAAGCACCGGCUAACUUCGUGCCAGCAGCCGCGGUAAUACGAGGGGUGCAAGCGUUAAUCGGAAUUACUGGGCGUAAAGCGUACGCAGGCGGUUUGUUAAGCGAGAUGUGAAAGCCCCGGGCUCAACCUGGGAACUGCAUUUCGAACUGGCAAACUAGAGUCUUGUAGAGAGAGGGUGGUGGAAUUUCCAAUGUAGCGGUGAAAUGCGUAGAGAUUGGAAGGAACAUCAGUGGCGAAGGCGGCCACCUGGACAGAUACUGACGCUGAGGAACGAGAGCGUGGGGAGCGAACAGGAUUAGAUACCCUGGUAGUCCACGCCGUAAACGAUGUCAACUAGCCGUUUGUGUCCUUGAGACGUGAGUGGCGCAGGCAGCUAACGCACUAAGUUGACCGCCUGGGGAGUACGGCCGCAAGGUUAAAACUCAAAUGAAUUGACGGGGGCCCGCACAAGCGGUGGAGCAUGUGGUUUAAUUCGAUGCAACGCGAAGAACCUUACCCGCUCUUGACAUCCUCAGAACUUUUCAGAGAUGAAUUGGUGCCUUGGGGAACUAUGAGACAGGUGCUGCAUGGCUGUCGUCAGCUCGUGUUGUGAAAUGUUGGGUUAAGUCCCGCAACGAGCGCAACCCUUAUCCUUAUUUGCCAGCACGUAAUGGUGGGAACUUUAGGGAGACUGCCGGUGAUAAACCGGAGGAAGGUGGGGACGACGUCAAGUCAUCAUGGCCCUUACGAGUAGGGCUACACACGUGCUACAAUGGUCGGUACAGAGGGUCGCAAAGCCGCGAGGUGGAGCUAAUCCCACAAAGCCGGUCGUAGUCCGGAUCGGAGUCUGCAACUCGACUCCGUGAAGUCGGAAUCGCUAGUAAUCGUAGAUCAGAAUGCUACGGUGAAUACGUUCCCGGGCCUUGUACACACCGCCCGUCACACCAUGGGAGUGGGCUGCACCAGAAGUAGAUAGCUAACCUUCGGAGGGCGUUACCACGGUUGUUAAGU
RNAcentral lists this ribosomal RNA (1444 nucleotides) under uncultured prokaryote. RNAcentral describes it as "partial 16S ribosomal RNA". It matches the Rfam family "Bacterial small subunit ribosomal RNA". The record is from RNAcentral.